GAUGAACGCUGGCGGCGUGCCUAAUACAUGCAAGUCGAGCGAACGGACGAGAAGCUUGCUUCUCUGAUGUUAGCGGCGGACGGGUGAGUAACACGUGGAUAACCUACCUAUAAGACUGGGAUAACUUCGGGAAACCGGAGCUAAUACCGGAUGAUAUUUUGAACCGCAUUGUUCAAGAGUGAAAGACGGUCUUUCUUUCACUUAUAGAUGGAUCCGCGCUGCAUUAGCUAGUUGGUAAGGUAACGGCUUACCAAGGCAACGAUGCAUACCCGCCCUGAGCGGGUGAUCGGCCAGAUGGGAAGUGAGACUCGGUACAGACACCUACGGGAGGCAGCAGUAGGGAAUCUUACGCAAUGGGCGAAAGCCUGACGGAGCAACGCCGCGUGAGUGAUGAAGGUCUUCGGCUCGUAAAACUAUGUUAUUAGGGAAGAACAUAUGUGUAAGUAACUGUGAACAUAUUGACGGUACCUAAUCAGAAAGCCACGGCUAACUACGUG
RNAcentral lists this ribosomal RNA (497 nucleotides) under uncultured bacterium. RNAcentral's name for it is "partial 16S ribosomal RNA". It matches the Rfam family "Bacterial small subunit ribosomal RNA", at positions 28 to 507 of the family's 1533-position model. The record is from RNAcentral.